RNAcentral lists this ribosomal RNA (274 nucleotides) under uncultured bacterium. RNAcentral describes it as "partial 16S ribosomal RNA". It matches the Rfam family "Bacterial small subunit ribosomal RNA", at positions 523 to 796 of the family's 1533-position model. The record is from RNAcentral.
ACACGGAGGGCGCAAGCGUUGCUCGGAAUCACUGGGCGUAAAGCGGGUGUAGGCGGUCUAGCAAGUCAGAUGUGAAAGCCCACGGCUCAACCGUGGAAGUGCAUCUGAAACUGCUAGACUUGAGUGCCGGAGAGGGAAGUGGAAUUCCUGGUGUAGGGGUGAAAUCCGUAGAUAUCAGGAGGAACACCGGUGGCGAAGGCGACUUCCUGGACGGCCACUGACGCUCAGACCCGAAAGCGUGGGGAGCAAACAGGAUUAGAAACCCUAGUAGUCC